AGCGAACGCUGGCGGCAUGCCUAACACAUGCAAGUCGCACGGGGGGGGCUUCGGCCUCCCAGUGGCGGACGGGUGAGGAACGCGUAGGGACCUGUCGAGGGGUGGGGGAUAACCGCGGGAAACUGCGGCUAAUACCGCAUGACGCCGCGGCGUGACAGCCGGGGCCAAAGGCGAAAGCCGCCCGCCGAGGGGCCUGCGUCCGAUUAGCUGGUUGGCGGGGUAGCGGCCCACCAAGGCGUCGAUCGGUAGCUGGUCUGAGAGGGUGAUCAGCCACACCGGGCUGAGACACGGCCCGGACUCCUACGGGAGGCAGCAGUGGGGAAUAUUGGACAAUGGGCGCAAGCCUGAUCCAGCAAUGCCGCGUGGGUGAAGAAGGUCUUCGGAUUGUAAAGCCCUUUCGGCGGGGACGAUGGUGACGGUACCCGCAGAAGAAGCCCCGGCUAACUUCGUG
Molecule: ribosomal RNA, 451 nt
Filed under: uncultured bacterium
Lineage: Bacteria
Description: partial 16S ribosomal RNA
Rfam family: Bacterial small subunit ribosomal RNA
Source: RNAcentral